GUAAAGCACUUUCAGUCGUGAGGAAGCGGGUACGUUAAUAGCGUAUUCGUUUGACGUUAGCGACAGAAGAAAGCACCGGCUAACUCCGUGCCAGCAGCCGCGGUAAUACGGAGGUGCGAGCGUUAAUCGGAAUUACUGGGCGUAAAGCGCAUGCAGGUGGUUUGUUAAGUCAGAUGUGAAAGACCCGGGGCGUCAACCUACGGAAUAGCAUUUGUAAACUGGCAGACUAGAGUACUGUAGAGGGGGGUAGGAAUUUCAGGUGUAGCGGUGAAAUGCGUAGAGAUCUGAAGGAAUACCGGUGGCGAAGGCGGCCCCCUCGGACAGAUACUGACACUCAGAUGCGAAAGCGUGGGGAGCAAACAGGAUUAGAUACCCUGGUAG
Molecule: ribosomal RNA, 381 nt
Filed under: uncultured bacterium
Lineage: Bacteria
Description: bacterial SSU rRNA
Rfam family: Bacterial small subunit ribosomal RNA
Source: RNAcentral